GCGGAAGACGUGGGAGGGGCGGGGGUGGUAGGUGUGGGGUGAGCGGUGGCCGGAUUUAUGGGGCGUGAAGGUCUCUGAGGUGGGUUGUGUCGUGGGGAGUGAAAACACGAGGGUUAACGGGGUGCUUGAUUUCGAGACGGGCAGACUUGAGGGAUGUAGGGGAGAACGGAAUUCCUGGUGGAGCGGUGGAAUGCGCAGAUAUCAGGAGGAACACCGGUGGCGAAGGCGGUUCUCUGGACAUUUCCUGACGCUGAGGAGCGAAAGCGUGGGGAGCAAACAGGAUUAGAUACCCUUGUAGUC
RNAcentral lists this ribosomal RNA (300 nucleotides) under uncultured Acidilobus sp. RNAcentral's name for it is "bacterial SSU rRNA". The stretch from base 52 to 300 matches the Rfam family "Bacterial small subunit ribosomal RNA", at positions 547 to 795 of the family's 1533-position model. The record is from RNAcentral. Lineage: Archaea; Thermoproteati; Thermoproteota; Thermoprotei; Acidilobales; Acidilobaceae.